UAAGGAAUAUUGGUCAAUGGACGCAAGUCUGAACCAGCCAUGCCGCGUGGAGGAUGACGGUCCUCUGGAUUGUAAACUUCUUUUCUCUGGGACGAAACCCCCGAUUUCCAUCGGGCCUGACGGUACCAGAGGAAUAAGCACCGGCUAACUCCGUGCCAGCAGCCGCGGUAAUACGGAGGGUGCAAGCGUUAUCCGGAUUCACUGGGUUUAAAGGGUGCGUAGGUGGGCAGAUAAGUCAGUGGUGAAAUCUCUGGGCUUAACCCGGAAACUGCCAUUGAUACUAUUUGUCUUGAAUUCUCUGGAGGUAAGCGGAAUAUGUCAUGUAGCGGUGAAAUGCUUAGAUAUGACAUAGAACACCCAUUGCGAAGGCAGCUUACUACGGAGACAUUGACACUGAGGCACGAAAGCGUGGGGAUCAAACA
This 422-nucleotide ribosomal RNA is filed under the name uncultured Lacibacter sp. RNAcentral's name for it is "bacterial SSU rRNA". It matches the Rfam family "Bacterial small subunit ribosomal RNA", at positions 355 to 774 of the family's 1533-position model. Lineage: Bacteria; Pseudomonadati; Bacteroidota; Chitinophagia; Chitinophagales; Chitinophagaceae. The record is from RNAcentral.